This 410-nucleotide long non-coding RNA is filed under the name Lathyrus oleraceus (garden pea). RNAcentral's name for it is "Pisum sativum (pea) long non-coding RNA (PSAT_LNC004754)". The record is from RNAcentral. Lineage: Eukaryota; Viridiplantae; Streptophyta; Magnoliopsida; Fabales; Fabaceae.
UUUAUUUGAACUAUUUUCCAUUUGUUUGAGUUUUUUCCUCCCUGCCUAGUCAAAUGUUGACUUUGUGUGACACAUGUUCCCAUUUCAUUUGUGAAAUUCUCAUACUUUAUUAGAUGGACAUGAAAUUUUGCAUGAGAUAACUAGACAUCCUCAUCUUUGCCAUGGCUUUAGUCCCAUUCAUUUAUCAUACACCAUUCUUGACUUAUGAUUUUUCUAAGUUGAUGCAUGUUUGGUUGACUUCUUUGAGCAUGUUCAAAUUGGCUUUGACUUUCUGAUUUUCAUUGACUGCCUUCCACUUGUCCAAAUGGGAUGAAAUUUGACAUGCUUACCAUGCUAUGUGUUAGGUUUGAUCAUGAUUUAUUUGGUGAUUUUUGGAAAAUGUUUAGAUUGCUUUUUAUGCAAGUCUUGCU